Molecule: ribosomal RNA, 492 nt
Filed under: uncultured bacterium
Lineage: Bacteria
Description: partial 16S ribosomal RNA
Rfam family: Bacterial small subunit ribosomal RNA
Source: RNAcentral
AGUGAACGCUGGCGGUAGGCCUAACACAUGCAAGUCGAACGGCAGCACAGUAAGAGCUUGCUCUUACGGGUGGCGAGUGGCGGACGGGUGAGGAAUACAUCGGAAUCUACUUUUUCGUGGGGGAUAACGUAGGGAAACUUACGCUAAUACCGCAUACGACCUACGGGUGAAAGCAGGGGAUCUUCGGACCUUGCGCGAUUGAAUGAGCCGAUGUCGGAUUAGCUAGUUGGCGGGGUAAAGGCCCACCAAGGCGACGAUCCGUAGCUGGUCUGAGGGGAUGAUCAGCCACACUGGAACUGAGACACGGUCCAGACUCCUACGGGAGGCAGCAGUGGGGAAUAUUGGACAAUGGGCGCAAGCCUGAUCCAGCCAUACCGCGUGGGUGAAGAAGGCCUUCGGGUUGUAAAGCCCUUUUGUUGGGAAAGAAAAGCAGCAGGUUAAUACCCCGCUGUUCUGACGGUACCCAAAGAAUGAGCACCGGCUAACUUCGUG